GAUGAACGCUGGCGGCGUGCCUAAUACAUGCAAGUCGAGCGAGCGGACGAGAAGCUUGCUUCUCUGAUGUUAGCGGCGGACGGGUGAGUAACACGUGGAUAACCUACCUAUAAGACUGGGAUAACUUCGGGAAACCGUAGCUAAUACCGGAUAAUAUUUUGAACCGCAUGGUUCAAAAGUGAAAGACGGUCUUGCUGUCACUUAUAGAUGGAUCCGCGCUGCAUUAGCUAGUUGGUAAGGUAACGGCUUACCAAGGCAACGAUGCAUAGCCGACCUGAGAGGGUGAUCGGCCACACUGGAACUGAGACACGGUCCAGACUCCUACGGGAGGCAGCAGUAGGGAAUCUUCCGCAAUGGGCGAAAGCCUGACGGAGCAACGCCGCGUGAGUGAUGAAGGUCUUCGGAUCGUAAAACUCUGUUAUUAGGGAAGAACAUAUGUGUAAGUAACUGUGCACAUCCUGACGGUACCUAAUCAGAAAGCCACGGCUAACUACGUG
Molecule: ribosomal RNA, 497 nt
Filed under: uncultured bacterium
Lineage: Bacteria
Description: partial 16S ribosomal RNA
Rfam family: Bacterial small subunit ribosomal RNA
Source: RNAcentral